AUGUCCUUCAUAUCCUCGAAUCCCAGCAUCUUCGUCUCGGCACCAAUGCUGGAGAAGGUCUCAUGGCGCUGCUGCUAUACCGACGGCUCUAUUGUGUUUGGUUUUAAGUGGAUGGCAGAAAGAUCGCUGAUUUUUCAUGGUGAAGCGGAUACCAUUACUCAGGAUAUAGAAAAGCAUAUGAUUGCUGAGUUUUCUAUUUUGGAACUACAUCUCCGAACAAGUGGACAUAUGUUUGGAGCACUCGCGUUUCAUCUCCUAGGGAGUAAUCGAAUUUGUACUGCUAUGCAGAAGCUUAAGGUCAUCCUACAGAGAUCAGCGGUGAAAGAAAAAUGCUCACCAGAUUGUCCAUGUGAGUCCUCGGGCUGGAGAGUCCAAACUAUCUCCUUGACUGCUCUCGAAGAAGUGGAGAUCAACGGCUUUGAAGGAGACAAUCAUGAGUUUGAUUUCUUGAAACUGGUACUCAGAUGUGUGCCAAUGCUUAAAAGAAUGAUUGUGAAGCUGUCAGAUAAGGCCUCAGCAAGUAGCUGUAGACGAACAAAACUAUACAACAUCUUCAGGGCCAAUUCAUCUGUGGAAUUCUAUGUCUAUCUUAGCUCCGACUUCCAUGCCUAA
This 612-nucleotide ribosomal RNA is filed under the name Triticum aestivum (bread wheat). RNAcentral's name for it is "partial small subunit ribosomal RNA". Lineage: Eukaryota; Viridiplantae; Streptophyta; Magnoliopsida; Poales; Poaceae. The record is from RNAcentral.